AAGACCUUGCGCUUUUGGAGCGGCCGAUGCCUGAUUAGCUUGUUGGUAAGGUAAAGGCUUACCAAGGCUUCGAUCAGUAGCUGGUCUGAGAGGACGGCCAGCCACACUGGGACUGAGACACGGCCCAGACUCCUACGGGAGGCAGCAGUGGGGAAUUUUGGACAAUGGGGGAAACCCUGAUCCAGCCAUGCCGCGUGAGUGAAGAAGGCCUUCGGGUUGUAAAGCUCUUUCAGCCGGAACGAAACGGUUACGGAUAAUACCCGUGACUACUGACGGUACCGGAAGAAGAAGCACCGGCUAACUACGUGCCAGCAGCCGCGGUAAUACGUAGGGUGCGAGCGUUAAUCGGAAUUACUGGGCGUAAAGCGUGCGCAGGUGGUUUUGUAAGUCAGAUGUGAAAGCCCCGGGUUCAACCUGGGAACU
This 423-nucleotide ribosomal RNA is filed under the name uncultured bacterium. Its description in RNAcentral is "bacterial SSU rRNA". It matches the Rfam family "Bacterial small subunit ribosomal RNA", at positions 207 to 622 of the family's 1533-position model. The record is from RNAcentral.